This 978-nucleotide ribosomal RNA is filed under the name Triticum aestivum (bread wheat). RNAcentral's name for it is "partial small subunit ribosomal RNA". Lineage: Eukaryota; Viridiplantae; Streptophyta; Magnoliopsida; Poales; Poaceae. The record is from RNAcentral.
AUGAUUGGCGCGGAGGCCGCCGCGGGCUCUCGCCCGGUCCUGGCCGCGCAGGUCACCGAGCUCGACGACGGCGUCUUUGUUGCCAUGUCGGUCAACCACGGGGUGGCCGACGGGACAACCUUCUGGCACCUGUUCAACACUUGGUCGGAGAUCAGCCGGCGUAGUGUCAACGGCGACCGCGAAUGCGAGAUCUCCUCGCCGCCGCCGGUAUUCGACAGGUGGUUCCCCGACGGCUGCGCCGUCCCCAUCGCAGUACCCUUGGGCAAGCUGGACGACAUCGUGGGGCACCGUCGAGGUGCUUAUGGUCAGCGCCCACCGGUACAGGAAUGCUUCCUGCGUUUCUCCGGGGAGAGCGUCAAGGAGCUCGUGUCAAAGGCCAACGCCGAGAUGUCCGGCUCCGGCGCCACCAUCUCCUCGCUGCAGGCCGUACUCGCGCACAUGUGGCGCGCGGUGUGCCGCGCCUGGAGGCUGGCGCCUGAGGAGGAGACGCGGUACGUCAUCCAGGUCGGAUGCCGGGGUCGCGUGGACGGCGUGCCGGCGGCCUACUCUGGCAACGCGGUGUCGCUCGCCGCGGCCGAUUCCACCGCCGGCGAGAUCCUGGAGAAAGGGCUGGGCCGGGCGGCGUGGCUGCUGAACCAGGCCGUGGCGUCGUUCGACGGGGCGCGCGAGAGGGAGGAACUCGCGGCCUGGGCCCGAGAGCCCAGCUUCGGGAUGCCGCCGGCGCUCGCGCGGGGCGCCGAAGCUCCUGCGCUGCUGGUCACGGGAAGCUCGCCGCGGUUCGACGUGUACGGCAACGACUUCGGGUGGGGGGCGCCGGUGGCGGUGCGGAGCGGCGCGGGGAACAAGCUGGGCAGAAAGGUGACGGUGUACGAGGGCGGGUGCGGCGCCGGGAGCAUGGCGCUGGAGGUGUGCCUCGUCCCCGACGCGCUCGCUAGGCUCGUCGCCGACCAGGAGUUCAUGAGCGCCACCGUGCCGUGA